RNAcentral lists this non-coding RNA (146 nucleotides) under Janthinobacterium sp. Lineage: Bacteria; Pseudomonadati; Pseudomonadota; Betaproteobacteria; Burkholderiales; Oxalobacteraceae. The record is from RNAcentral.
UUAUAAUGGCGCAGUUUUGGUGCCCGCCCGCGUGUUCACGCCGGCAGUUAAACGGGAAACACAUAGUGUGCUGCCCCCGCAACGGUACUGCCAGCCGCGCCAAGCGGCUGGCCAGCCCGGAUACCGGCCAAGACAGGUGGACACGA